Long non-coding RNA from Nothobranchius furzeri (turquoise killifish), 846 nucleotides. The record is from Ensembl. NCBI's taxonomy places the organism in Eukaryota, Metazoa, Chordata, Actinopteri, Cyprinodontiformes, Nothobranchiidae.
AAUAAUACUGGUGCCCUACGAACACCACAAGUGUUAUGGAGCACCAGGUCUCUAAAGACAGACAGAAAGCUGUCAUGCUCCGUGCUGAACCAACAAUCUUUGUCUGAGCUUUGUUUGCAGGUGGGUGUGUCUGCAGAGCUCAGCUGUAUCACAUCAGCGGUCAGGGGAUUUAAGGGGCGGCAGGACAGCUCACCAGUGCCUUGGGUUCCAGUCACAUUCAUAUUCGCUUUCUACAAUAUCACCGGAACCAUCAUCAACAUUCCAGUCCCGCCAUUUGCCCCUGAUCGCCUGCUCUCCGCCACUCACCGGCCCACCUGCAGCUCCUCGGUCUCCCUGCUCAGCCAGGCCUGGCAUACCCUCCCCGGAGAACCCGGAUCAUCCAGGAAACCAACCCCACGGAUCCAUUUCCUGUCCUUGGGAAGCUACCUCUACCGCACCAUUCAAAAUAAACCACUCUUACUGAACUUCCGACUCCUGGUGGUGAUUCUUCAUGUCGAGGGUUAAGGAAUUACCUUCAAACACGACUAAAACUAAAUGAAAAAGAGUGGAAGAGGGACAGAUUAACACAGAUUAGAACAAGUUCUGAUAAACACAGAAAUAGCUAAAGGUCCAGUUUGACAGUCCACUACUCUUCACUAUCGGAUCUAUCGCUGGAGCGUAGAUCAGUCAACUCAGUUAGUUCAAACAGGAGUCACGGUACACGAGCUGAAGUAAAGAGAGGCAACGCUAAUAUUAGCCUUGAUCAGACUCCCCAUUCUCUCUCUCUCACACACACACACACACACACACAUACACACACACACACACACACACACACCCACCCACCCCUAUGAGGAUGUGUGUUUC